RNAcentral lists this ribosomal RNA (422 nucleotides) under uncultured eukaryote. Its description in RNAcentral is "SSU rRNA". It matches the Rfam family "Eukaryotic small subunit ribosomal RNA", at positions 592 to 1018 of the family's 1831-position model. The record is from RNAcentral.
CAAUAGCGUAUAUUAAAGUUGUUGCGGUUAAAAAGCUCGUAGUUGGAUUUCUGCCGAGGACGACCGGUCCGCCCCCUGGGUGAGUAUCUGGUUCGGCCUGGGCAUCUUCUUGGAGAACGUAUCUGCACUUGACUGUGUGGUGCGGUAUCCAGGACUUUUACUUUGAGGAAAUUAGAGUGUUUCAAGCAGGCACACGCCUUGAAUACAUUAGCAUGGAAUAAUAAGAUAGGACCUUGGUUCUAUUUUGUUGGUUUCUAGAGCUAAGAUAAUGGUUAAUAGGAACAAUUGGGGGCAUUUGUAUUAACAUGUCAGAGGUGGAAUUCUUGGAUUAUGUUACGACAAACUACUGCGAAAGCAUUUGCCAAGGAUGUUUUCAUUGAUCAAGAACGAAAGUAAGGGGAUCGAAGACGAUUAGAUACCGU